This 410-nucleotide long non-coding RNA is filed under the name Homo sapiens (human). RNAcentral describes it as "non-protein coding lnc-PCK1-2:1". Lineage: Eukaryota; Metazoa; Chordata; Mammalia; Primates; Hominidae. The record is from RNAcentral.
AAUUUUCCUCCUCUGGAGGAAAGGUGGUGAUUGACAGGCAGGGAGACAGUGACAAGGCUAGAGAAAGCCACGCUCGGCCUUCUCUGAACCAGGAUGGAACGGCAGACCCCUGAAACGAAGCUUGUCCCCUUCCAAUCAGCCACUUCUGAGAACCCCCAUCUAACUUCCUACUGGAAAAGAGGGCCUCCUCAGGAGCAGUCCAAGAGUUUUCAAAGAUAACGUGACAACUACCAUCUAGAGGAAAGGGUGCACCCUCAGCAGAGAAGCCGAGAGCUUAACUCUGGUCGUUUCCAGAGACAACCUGCUGGCUGUCUUGGGAUGCGCCCAGCCUUUGAGAGGCCACUACCCCAUGAACUUCUGCCAUCCACUGGACAUGAAGCUGAGGACACUGGGCUUCAACACUGAGUUGU